GAAUUACACUGGUAAUGUAUUUAUAUCUAAACAUGGGAAAGUUAUGUUCAAUUCGUUCUUUUUUUAAUUUAAGAAGAUCUUUGAGAGAAUAUGAUUUAUAAAAUGUUGUUUCUUCUUAACAGGAAAGCAGGAUCCUCCUUUGGAAAAAUGAUCUGAUUACUUACGAUGGCCCAAAUAUGAGAAAACUUUUCAAGAGCCUAUACCUCAUCAAUAAAUAGUCCCCAAACUUAUCUGUGAUCCAUGGGGUCAAGCAUGUGGAUUUGCCAAUUUGGGUAUCAUUACUCAAACUGAUUUAUAUUAUGUUCAAAAUGGCUAUUAGCCUCGUAGAUAGGAAUCUGUGUCUUGUUCAUACAAGUUUAGGACAUAACAUAUAUUUUCAUGGACUGAUGGUUGACUUAGUUUAAAAUGGGGAGGGUUACAUGUCAAUUUUUUAAAGUUAGGUGAAAUUUCUUUUACUAUUUUCUUGGAUAUAGAAAUGGCUUCUUUUACCGCCUCUCUGUAGCCCUCUUACACCUCCACUGGACAUUUUUCUAGUCCCCAUCUCUUUUCUUCUGCCUGGGUUUUGGUUCUAGCUUUGCUUCUCACUGUUGUUUCAGGAAAAUUACAUAACUUCUUGUGCUGAACAUAAAAAGGAUGGAUGUACUGCCCUCACAUUUGCAAGAAUUAAAUAAAGUAGGCAAGUCUAGUGCUUAGCAUAAACCCUAGUGCUUAGAAAGCUUACAAAUCACAUUAGCUGUUAUCACUAUUGCUGUCAUUGUCACAUGCAAACAUUGUUUCAAAAUUUCACUACCUGUAGUGGAAUUCUGGUUUAGCAGGUGAACUAAUCUGAGCAUAUUCUCUUCAGGGUUUGGAAUAUGAUAAAGGAUAUGUAAGCAUUCUUCUUAAAAUUUUUUGUACAGUCACAAAUUAUGAUUGUGUGUGUGCGCAUGUAUGUAUGUAUGUAUUUUUUCUCAAAUAAGUUUCCCCACAUGGUGUUUUGUAGUGUUUGAUUUUAUUUUGUACAUUGAGCUUAUAUUAGAAUGUUAUGAUACAGGAAAGAAGCACAUUUUGUUAUAAUCAUGUUACAAUAACCCUAAAAAAUGCAAAUGCAGGGGCUGGGGUUGUAGCUCAGUGGUAGAGCACUUGCCUUGCACAUGUGAGGCACUGGGUUUGAUCCUAAGCACCACAUAAAAAUAAAUAAAUAAAAUAAAG
This 1191-nucleotide long non-coding RNA is filed under the name Marmota monax (woodchuck). The record is from RNAcentral. Lineage: Eukaryota; Metazoa; Chordata; Mammalia; Rodentia; Sciuridae.